AAAAAAAAAAAAGUGAUUGUCCUUUGGACUGGGCUCAUCUGGCCAUAGUGGACUUGUAGAGCACCCGUCUCGUUAUCCUUCCACUGUCGAGAGAGGGAGGUUUUCGCUGCUCUGUGAAACCAGCCUGACGAGAUGCCCUCCUCUCUAGGAGCCACGUGGAAUGGGCCUUCGCCUAUACCACAUAACCCAACUCCCAACUUGGAACGGGCAAGUUGGUUUGUGCAACACAAGCCCAACCAGAUUAAACAAAGCCCAAGUCCAAUCACCUUAAUGCCCUCACUCGAGUUACAAGCUCUCGUUACUUAGCUCGGCGAUAGUCUAAGUUAGAAAUGCCUAUAUUUAUUACAGAAACUUGGCUUCUUUUAUCAUUGUGGGACUAAAGUGGCUCAUUCUUUCUGCAAGAUUCUGUACAAACUCAACUUAUUACUCGAGCAUCCUGUGUUCCAACUUCCAUCCCCACCCCUUCAAAGGCAAAUAUCUCCAUGAAAAUUCUAUUCUGGAGUCUUAAUGUGAGUGGAUGUGGACAUGUGGUGAACUGGGUCGAUUCGAAGCACCAGAGAAGAGGAUGGGAGGAUGAAAUUGCAGUUAGUUUUACUAUAUAUUGAUUGAAUCCUAUAUAUACUUGCAUUGUUGAUUUCAUAGGCUCCUCUUCUGCCGAGUAUCAGCAGAAGAGGAGGGUUGUUCUCUUUCAACAACCAUUAAAGACCCCAGAUUGUCAGAAUCAGAGGAGGGUUUUGUUGUUGUUGAGAUUGUUUUGGUAAUGGUAUUGAUUUUAUCUUUAUCCAAGCAAACCCCAUUUUCAGAAACUUCGGUCAUGUGUGACCGCGAUAAGUCUUUGGUCUUCCUAACUCCUCCUCACCUCUUGUUUUAAUGCAAUAGCAACGAGCAACGACUCUUGCUUCUCUCGAGAAUGGCCUACACCAUUACCUUUAAAACCAACUCAUUGCUUAAUCCUGCCUCUUCUCACUCUAAUAGCGGUAAUCAUUGAUAUAUAUGGUAAACUAAGAGAAUCACUGGUACAAAUAGCAGUUUUCAACAUGCAAACUAAGAGAAUCACUGGUUAAUACUCAACUUUUAUCUUCUUAUUAUGAAUUUGUAAAUUUGGAAGUUACAUUGCAGAGCUUGCAUGGUGUAAUGUGUAUACGUCAACCACAAAAACAAACAACAUGCUUACAUGCAUUGUUGAUUUCAUAGGCUCCCCUGUUUGCAAACAACUUUUACCAGAAAUCCACACAUCACAAACACUGGGUGGGAAUGUCGAUAAUUUGAUGUAAAUGUAAAUACACAGCUUAAUUAAGAUCGAUCUUGUGUCUAAAAUUGUUUUUUUUUUUUUUUUUUGAUAAAGGUACUGAAAGUCUAAAAUUGGUCUAAACCAAAUACUUUAGAUUCAUCUGCCAUGCAUAUUUCAGUUCAGUAUCUAACUAUAACCUCAUCGUCAUUCACAUUUUUAUAGUAACAAUGCAAGCUAGGCAUUUUUUUUUCCAUGCAACAAAACCACUGGUAAUUGUUUUUCUUUUUGAAUAGUGGGCCAUUCUAUAUGGGCUGAGACUGAGGCCCACUUUACUUGUGAGCCCAAUCCAGCCGUCUAAUCAGCCGUAAAGUACGCCCACCGAAUUCGAAAGUCACUUCGAAUUCGAACAUCAUGACCACCCUAUAAAAUACGUUUUGGCCAAACGUAGAUACGUUCAGGACUUCAGGCCUUCAGGGUAAGAACUUUUUCUAACCUGCUUAUUAUCAGUUAGCUUGUUUUCUCGACUCGAUCACAUCAUACUGUCCUUAAUUAUUGUUCUGGUUUGCAUACUCCAUUUAUUUUGGGUUUUCUGGUUUUACUUAGAGUUAUACUUAUGCAAUACUAACAUACUGCCUAACACCAUGUACAGUAUGUGACCACUGACCAUGAGAGCAGAGCACCUUACCUUCUUCCCCUUUGUAAUACCUUAAUUUGAGAUAUGAUCUCCAGUACAUGAAAUAUUAGUUUUGUUUGCCAGCUUGUGGCAUUAGGCUAUCCCAUCUAUUUAGAUUGCUGUGAGCAUUAAUAUUGACAGUUACUGCACUGCUCUUGUACUCAUUUCAUUCGACAAGACUGACAGUAGUACGUAAACAUACACUUAAGUUUCUGUUACAGAAUGUUGUUGUUCUGCCCCAUUACUAUCAUUUUAGAGCUAGUUUGGUGUACAAUAUGUUUCAGACCUUAGGAGGUGCAGUCUGCAGCCUAGAGACCGCACUUAAUUGGCCAAUAUGUUAUUUUUAUGCUUUCUCUUCCAUAUAAGUUUUGAGUAUAUUUUGAUGGUCAAGGCAUCGAAGCAGGAAAGUCGCACUGUAAAAGAGAAAUUUGAUGCCAAUGAGAUAUUCCUGAUUAUUCAUUUGCAAUGCCAUUCAGUUUUGCGUAACAAGUUUAUAUUUCGUGCUUUAAGAAAUAAACCAUAUAGGGCAUUUAACCAUUUGGGCUCGGAUCUGUUGGAUGAACUUCAUGGCGCAUACGUGGUGAUCCCACAACUUCAUGGCGUAACGCCGUAACAAGUUGAUAUUUUCUGCUUUAAGUCUUGCUGUUCAGUCGAAGUCUUACUUAGGUAGACAUGUUGACCAAUUUCUAUUAUUCUACAAGCAAGUUUCUUGUUGUGACUUAAUUAUUUCGUACUACCAAGCUUGAAAGAUGAAUACGAGCCAAACAAAACUCAUUGUCUGCCACCACGACAAGCUAGAAAACACCUUGCAGGUUUGCAACACCGAACAUGGUACGGACAAAACUCUAUGUGGUAGUGCUCUCGAGUGCUUAGAGCAUCUGUUUCUCUCUUGAUUUUUCAGUCUUCUUGAUUGAUUCAUAAGUUAGCUAAACUUGUGAAUAUAAACGAGCUUUGCUCAUAAUGUUUUGGAUUAAUGACUGUUAGAUUCACAUCCUAAAUUUCUGAAAUGUUAACUCAAUCAAACUGUAUUUCUUGGUAAUUUGCCAUUCACAGAAAUUCCCUUUCUCCUUCCCGUUGUUUGGGUUUUGGGGUUUGUGUAGCACGUUAACACGGUUCAUAGAGAAAUUAUUUGCUCUAUAGCACUUAGGAUCAAAGUGUUCAAAGUAAUUGAGUCCCCUGUUCUGUUCUUGGGGUCCAGAAUACUCCGAGAACAUUUUUAUUUUAGAAAGUACGUAAAAACAUUCAUUACCAAUUAAUUUAUAAAAAAUUUCACAAAAAUGUGUGUCUGCAGUCUGCAUAAUGACAGAAAAAAAAAAUGUACAUGCAUGUAUAAAUAGGAUCAUACUCCCAAAUCACACAUAUUAUCAAAUUUAACAUGCAUGUAUAAAUAGGAUCAUACUCCCAAAUCACACAUAUUAUCAAAAUGUACAUGCAUGUAUAAAUAGGAUCAUACUCCCAAAUCACACAUAUUAUCUGAGCUCUUAAGUGUUACGUACUACCAAGUACCAAGAAGAUAACACUUAAGAGCUCAGAUGGUGAAGCCUUUGAUGUUGAAGAGGCAAUUAUUCUUGAAUCUCAAACUAUCAAACACAUGAUUGAAGAUGAAUGCGCUGAUGACGGCAUCCCUUUGCCUAACGUGACAUCAAAUAUCUUGGCUAAAGUGAUCGAGUACUGCAAGAAGCACGUUGAGGGUGGUCAGUCGUCUACAGAAGAACUCAAGAGCUGGGAUGCUGAUUUUGUUGAAGUUGAUCAAGCAACUCUUUUUGAUCUUAUAUUGGCUGCAAACUAUUUGAACAUCAAGAGUCUCUUGGAUCUUACUUGCCAAACUGUUGCUGACAUGAUCAAGGGAAAAACCCCAGAGGAAAUUCGCAAGACUUUUAAUAUUAAGAACGAUUUUACUCCUGAGGAAGAAGAAGAAGUUCGCAGAGAAAAUCAAUGGGCCUUUGAGUGAUCGAUGAUCGUUUUUCAUCAAAUUAGUCCAUUCAAUUAAUUUGUUUAUACCUGCAGAUUCCAUGAAUUUGUUUAUCUUGAUAAUUAAUUUGUGCAGUGGACUCACUGGCGAGAGCUGAUGAGCAUGCUGGUCUUGUAAUUUUAUUUGGCUUUGCAACCUGACAAUGCACCACAAGGUGCAUGCUGAUCCAUUUUUACCUUGUAAAAAAUGAGGGUUUUAUGGGUUUUGUUAGAACUGACAGUGCACCACAAAGAACAUGUGAAUGUAAAGGUUUUCAUGGGUUGGUUUUGGUUUUGUCAGAACUUCGAAACAUAACUACAAACAUCCAUUAGGAUUCCAGAGACAGACUCUCAUGUUGUCUUGUGCAAUCUCUUGCAUCCUCGUUAUACUUUGCUUGUAUCUGUCUUAUGUUCCAGCUGUCACUUUAAUUUUUCCUCCCCCCCUCCUGGUACAUCACUCUCAUAUCAUAUUACAAAAAUCUCUUACUAGAAUCUGUAAUUAAUUUUUGGUUUUGAUAGUCUAAAGUUUCCCUUUAGAUGUUAAUUCUCUACAACUAAAUUGGUAAUAAAGAAUAAAGAGAUUUUUGGACAUACCCCCCAUUUGAAAGUCGAAAUUUGAGAUACCCCAUUUGAAAAAAAAAUUGAGAUGCAGCCCAAUUCAAGACAGAAGAGCUUUUACAGCCGUAGGUGAGUUUUAUGAUGCAUUAUGAUGGACGAUGGACGGCUAAGAUAACACCACAUCUUGAAUUGGGGGUAUCUCAAAAAAAAUUUCAAACGGGAGUAUCUCAAAUUUCGACCUUCAAAUGGGGGUAUGUCCAAAAAUCUCAAGAAUAAAAAAAAAGUGAUUGUCCAUUGGACCAAUCUGGCCGUAGAGGACUGAUGGAGCACCUGUCUCGUUAUCCUUCCACUGUCGAGAGAGGGAGGUUUUCGCUGCUCUGUGAAACCAGCCUGACGAGGUACUCUCCACUCUAGGAACCAAGUGGCACAGGCCUUCGCCCAUUCCACAUAGCCCAACUCCCAACUUGGAAUGGGCAAAUCAGUUUGUGCAACACAAGCCCAACGAGAGUGUGUGACCCAAGUCCAAUCACCUUAAUGCCCUCACUCGAGUUACAAGCUCACGUUACUUAGCUCGGAGAUAGCUUUAGUUUGAAAGGCAUAUAUUUAUUACAGAAACUUGACUUCUUUUAUCAUUGUGGGACUAUGUAGCUCAUUUUUUUUCUGCAAGAUUUCAGUACCAAUUCAACCAUCCUGUGUUCCAUACUUCCAUCCCACCGGCCGCCCCUUUGCCCUUUGAAGUCGAAUAUCUCCGUUAAAAUCCAUUCUGGAGUCUUAAUGUGAGUGGAUGUGGUGAACUGGGUUGAUUCGAAGCAUCAGAAAAGAGGAUGGAAUUGCAGUUGUACUGUGUCAAAGUCCAAACUCCAGGCACAGAAUGUCAUCUGCUGGCUAUGACAUGUUGUAACUUAAUUAUUACGUACUACUAAGCUUGAAAGAUAAACAAGAGCCAAACAGAACUCAUUGUCCGCUAGAAAACACCUUGCAACACCGAAACAAAGGUAUAGAGUAUGGGCAAAACUCUAUUUGGUAGUGCUCCUGAGUACUGCUUAGAGCAUCUGUUUCUCUCUUGCUCUUUCAGUCAGCUUCUUGAGUGCUUUAUAAGUUUAGCUUAACUUUGUAAUAUAAACAAGCUUUGCUCAAUAAUUUUACGGAAUAAUGACUGUUAAUAAACUAUUAAAUUUAAGAAAUGUCAACUCAAUCAAACUGUAUUUCUAGGUAAUUUACCAUUAUCAGAAAUUUCUUUCCUCCUUCCUGUUGUUUUGGUUUUGGGGUUUAUGUAGCAUGUUAGCACGGUUAAGAAAGAAAUUCUUUGCUCCAUAGCGCGUAGGACCAAAGUGUUCUCCAAAGUCCAAACCAUAUACUCGAUAUGUCAAAUUAUGUGUUUGGGCACCCUGUUCUGUUCUUGACUUCUUGGGUCCAUGAAUAUUCUGUCAUUCUGUGAACAUAUUCAUUUUAGAAAGUACGUAAAAACAUUUGGUAACAUUGAAUUUAUAAAUUUAUUUACAAAAAAUGUGUGUCUUCAAUCUUCAUCACAUUGAUAAAAAAAAUGUACAUGUAUAAGUAGGAUUAUACUCCCAAAUCACACAUAAAAUAUCAAUCUCUUUGUACAUCAACUGGAAUAAUUUACAGAUAAAUAUCAAGUAACGAUCAUGGCCUGCCUCAGGCCGGUUGUACUAUGAAAACAGAGAUCCAAUUAAACAUGUGGUUACACCAAUUGGAUCUCCAGUAAGGAUAGAGAAUAGGAGACUAAUGACCACUUUUGCAAUCUUCCAACACUUGCUAAUCAUCCCUUUACCUGAAUUUGAACCACGAAUGUUUGUGAGUUGGAAAUUCGUCGGGUUAGUUAUCUCCAUUGCUAAGUCAUUCUUCUCACCUUCACCAAAGUAUUUCUUCUCCCAGUUCUCGACUGCCAUUUUUUUCACACAUGAUACAUAAAAUUCAUAGCCCGUACUGGAUCUGUAUGACCAUCCUCUGACGUUCCCCCAAAGUGUCCUUGUGCGACACUUACCACACUUCGAUGAUAAUUUGUCAUGCAGACGCAGUUCUACCCCAUCAGCUUGUAAGGUGCAGGGUAGAUUAGCGCAAAGGGGAUGCAAAUCAUGACCAGUAGCAUAGCAAUGAUACACAAAUCCUAGGAUGUCCCUUCCACAUGCAUUGCAGUAUCUGUUAUAGGUAAUUGGACUUUCAAGAAAUUCGAAAGAUCGGUUUUUGUAGAAAGGGUGAGACAUAGAUGAAGAAUACAAUGCACACUCUUUGUGGAGAUCGAAGUUACAGUCUUCGCAUCUGUAUCUAGGUCCCCAACCUGGUUCUUUGCAACCGUCACACUUGUAAGGUGUUUUGUCACACAAUAGUUUAAGAUUGUGGCCGUGGCUAAAGUGUUUUAUGUCCGUAUAAAUCAUGCUUUAUAAAAUCCGGCUUGACGGUAAACUUCUUUACUGAUCAGAACCACCCUGCAAUAAAAAUACAUAAUGGUUCAUCGAUCAAUUUUACCAAAUGAAUUAAUCACACACAUACUAAUACAAACCCAUGUACAUUAUUUCAUGAUGUCUUUGGACGAUAUAUAUGUUGACACUGAGAACAUGCAUAACUAAGGAAGUAAUAAACAAUAAAACAACAUAUUGACAAGUUUAGAUAGAGAUUAAUAGCAAGCAAAAAAAAAGAUAGAGAUUAACAAACCAAUAAAUUGAUAUGAUGAUUGGAUCCAAGUACAAAUGUUCGUAAAACCUUUUGUGAACAAACAGUACUAGCUUAAUUAGCUAGCUUUUAACACAAUAUAAUUGAUUUGAACAUCCACUCCAACAAAGAAACCUUGCUAGUUAUGGACUGAUCAAGUUUUGGACAAAAGCUUAGGGAGGCAAUAAGGUGAUUCGAUCUAUUCAUAUAUAAAAAGCAGGAUCUUGUUUGCAAUUAGCUAACUGAUGGAUAAAUGAACAAUUAAUAAUAUUUGAGCUAGUGUUUGUAAGGUUUCAUUGGUAUGAGAUGCAAUAGAGCUAGUAUUUAUAAUAUAAUAUGCUCUAACAUAGUUGACAGGUUACAUGUAGAACUUUCCUAGAGGCUUCUUAACAUUGCGUGAAAAAUUUCGCUAGCUAGUGUCGGCCGACCAUUUGUAAGAGUAGGAGCAGGAAUAUUCAGUUAUAUACAUAUCUUAACUCUUAUAAGAUCACGAAUACAAAAUAUUUGUUGCAUGACCAUGUAGUUUCUUAAUCAUGUCAACUAGAAGACGACACUGAUUUUCUUUGACUUGUUAGAGAUUUUUGGACAUACCCUCGUUUGAAAAUCGAAAUUUGAGAUACGCCCAUUUGAAAAAAAAAAAUUGAGAUACCCCUAAUUCAAGACAGAAGAGUUUUACAGGUGAGUUUUAUGAUAGACGGCUAAGAUAACACAACAUCUUGAAUUAGGGGGUAUCUCAAAUUUUUUUCAAAUGGGUAUCUCAAAUUUCGACUUUCAAAUGGGGGUAUGUCCAAAAAUCUCUACUUGUUAUUUACGUGUAGAACCAUAUGUGGUAUCAACUAUAAAAGUCAGUCGUCUUAAACUAAAAGAUUCUCUUGCAUUGAGAUUUCAUAGGAUUGAAUUUUUUUUAGAGCUUAUCAAGAUGCCUGCGGCACUCUAUUUGGAGAAUAAACAAUUAACUGUCAACUACACCCACUUAAGUUCAGUCAUUCAAACUGUUGAAUGAAAAACAAACGACAAAUAAAAAAUUCUGUCUAAGACAACAUUGAUAUUAUAGAUUUAUAGUAUUGUAAUCUGUGGAAAGUUGAUCAGAUACUAUCAUCACACAUGAGAUCGAACCAAAACUAAAAUAAGAUAUAACUAAAAAUAAAACAAAUCGUAUCAUCAAAUUCAUCACAUAAACAUAUACAGUAUCGUAAUUUGUCUACAUUUGUCAACUACAAUACAUCACAUAAUCCUCAUUCUGCCUCAUCACCACCACAUUUUCUUGUACGAAUACAUUUACCUGAAAAAUUUUAGUUUGUGUUUUUUAGCAGUCAAUAUGUGUUUCAUACGUAAACAUUUUAUACUCAACGAGGUUUAAUUUCCUAAGAAAAUAUUUCUAUCACUCAGAUAUUCUAGGAAAUGAAUGUUGAUUAAAGUAAUCAACCGACCUUUUGAAUUUAUGUGAUCGGGAGAAUGUGACUGGUGUGUGUGUCUAGCUUCUUUCAAACUAUCAAAGACGACCAAGCUAACGAAUGGCAUGCCAUAUCCCCAUAUCCCAACCAACUGCAUGACUGAUGGACACAUGCCACUAUCAAUCACACUCAUUGGAAACUUGGGUCACAAGACUCAACAACCCAGAUUUUAGCUCAAGGGCCUUUUCUUUUAUUUCCCUCUAAAAUAGGCCCAAGGGGUUCCCUUUAAUUCACUUGAAAGUUGAAACAUGGACAGUAGUAAGAUUAUAAGAUUACCCAUUUACGCAAGAGGUGUAAACAGAGAAGAAUGAAUCAAAAGUUUGGAGGGGGAAAGCAACCAACGGGCACGCCAUCACUCGGGUGGUCAUGCGUGGUGGUGAUUGUAUCUCUUCUCACUGGUGCUUCUGUAGUUCACAACAUCUUCAAGCCCGAUCUAGUAUGUUGUUUACUUCUUUAAUUCUUAUUUUUCUUAAUGCAUGUCAUAUGUUUGAUGAAAUGUCUCUAUGAGCUCUUACUUACAAAACUUCUUUACUUGAAAUUGUUGGCGGUUUUAUUAAUUGAAUUGUUUGUGUUGACAGACAUUGCCACCAGUGGAGAGUCUUGGAACUAAGAGUGAUCAACAAGAGAAACAAUGAGCUUGAUUUGUUUGUUUUUUUUUAUAAUAAGAAUCAUCUUUACAAGAGUGAACAAUGUGCUUAAUUGUAAUGAACAUUGUUGUUUGGGAAUCAUGUAAAAGUAUAUAUAUUUGAAUUGGAUAGUACAUUAUGUGAUGAGUUGCUAAGGAAACAGUUUACUGGUUUAUAUGGAUUGUUGACCAAAGAGGUUGGGAUACUGCACUUUAUUAAUAUUGGAAUAGAACGGGGUACAGAUACAUGUAAAAGGUCAGAAUACAAAAGAUUUAACAGAAAACAAGGUGGUUGAAAUGCGCAUAGUUUCAAACCCAAAAGUUGGUUUGCUCCAAAUGUCUCGGCACCUUAUAGAAAGUGGAACAUCUUAUCUAUAAUAUACUUGUCUGUGCCCAAAUUUGUUGGAGACUAUCAUGAUUGUUAGCACUGAAAAAGAUAUGACAAGUUAAACACUUAAGCAGUGUAGUCCCAUGGUGUCCCUCAAGCAAAUCAUUUACACAAUGUGAUUCCACAUCAUCCUCUUUGAAUGUGAAGGAUUUCUAUCAUGAUUUUGAGCGGAUGAGGAGAGGGAAAGUUUUUUGCAGAUGAAGAACAAGAACUGGCAGAAUAAUGAGUUUUGGAGGAGAAAUUUUAAAACUAAAAAAAAAAAAAGUGAUUGUCCUUUGGACUGGGCUCAUCUGGCCAUAGUGGACUUGUAGAGCACCCGUCUCGUUAUCCUUCCACUGUCGAGAGAGGGAGGUUUUCGCUGCUCUGUGAAACCAGCCUGACGAGAUACCCUCCUCUCUAGGAGCCACGUGAAAUGGGCCUUCGCCUAUACCACAUAACCCAACCAGAUUAAACAAAGCCCAAGUCCAAUCACCUUAAUGCCCCCACUCGAGUUACAAGCUCUCGUUACUUAGCUCGGCA
Molecule: long non-coding RNA, 10068 nt
Filed under: Aquilegia coerulea
Lineage: Eukaryota; Viridiplantae; Streptophyta; Magnoliopsida; Ranunculales; Ranunculaceae
Description: long non-coding RNA (ACOE_LNC001509)
Source: RNAcentral